UCCCAGGUGACUCAGUGAUAAAGAAUCUGCCUGCCAAGCAGGAGACGCAGGUUCGAUCCCUGGGCUAGGAA
Molecule: transfer RNA, 71 nt
Filed under: Capra hircus (goat)
Lineage: Eukaryota; Metazoa; Chordata; Mammalia; Artiodactyla; Bovidae
Also listed under: 1 other name
Rfam family: tRNA
About the family: Transfer RNA (tRNA) molecules are approximately 80 nucleotides in length. Their secondary structure includes four short double-helical elements and three loops (D, anti-codon, and T loops). Further hydrogen bonds mediate the characteristic L-shaped molecular structure. tRNAs have two regions of fundamental functional importance: the anti-codon, which is responsible for specific mRNA codon recognition, and the 3' end, to which the tRNAs corresponding amino acid is attached (by aminoacyl-tRNA synthetases). tRNAs cope with the degeneracy of the genetic code in two manners: having more than one tRNA (with a specific anti-codon) for a particular amino acid; and 'wobble' base-pairing, i.e. permitting non-standard base-pairing at the 3rd anti-codon position.
Source: Rfam by way of RNAcentral